Molecule: long non-coding RNA, 564 nt
Filed under: Marmota monax (woodchuck)
Lineage: Eukaryota; Metazoa; Chordata; Mammalia; Rodentia; Sciuridae
Source: RNAcentral
CAGAGUGAACAAUAAGCAAUGCAAUCCAGUUCUUUCUAGUGAGACACAGAUGUUUGCAAAUGUUCUUAGCCUGAAGAGAAUUUUGUUCAAGAGUGAUGUUAGAGAGUAUUUGAGAGGUGUUAGAAACAUAUUGGCAAACUGAAACCUUCUCCUCAACUUACACAGAAGAGGUUCUGGAGAACUAAAAGGGACAUAACUUUCUCAGCAUGUGAUUGGAUAUUUAUUUAAAGCCGUGUCCUGAUUUGAAGCCACAUCCUGUCUACUCCACUGAAAUGUCUGUUCGACUAACACAUCCUACAUGUCACUACCAGAUUUGUUUCCAUCAGACAGUGACUUAAACAUAGCAUCCCCUUAGCACAACACCUCCCAGUAGCUCUCUAUUGUCCUCCUGUAUCCAAAUGGCACCAACACCUCAGAAACAUUCAGUCUGGACACUAUGGAAAGGUCUAAAGUUCCAUAUUUAGUUCUUGAUUUGCUAUAAGUGACCUUGAUUAAGCCCUUUAAAUUUCUUCUUAACUUCAGUUUGUGCCCAAGUGCAUCAACACUUGCCCUCACUACCUCCUG